Small nucleolar RNA from Hibiscus syriacus, 107 nucleotides. The record is from RefSeq and is a predicted model, not a curated record. NCBI's taxonomy places the organism in Eukaryota, Viridiplantae, Streptophyta, Magnoliopsida, Malvales, Malvaceae.
AAACUAUGCAUGGGACAUUAGCGUAAAAUCUCCCUAUAUUGCUCUCAAGCCUCAUACAUAGAUUCAUCAUUUUCCUGUUGAAAAGAAGUAAUACCAUUACACAAUUU